GACGAACGCUAGCGGCGUGCUUAACACAUGCAAGUCGAACGCUGAAGCUUGGUGCUUGCACUGGGUGGAUGAGUGGCGAACGGGUGAGUAAUACGUGAGUAACCUGCCCUUGACUCUGGGAUAAGCCUGGGAAACUGGGUCUAAUACUGGAUACGACAUGUCACCGCAUGGUGGUGUGUGGAAAGGGUUUUACUGGUUUUGGAUGGGCUCACGGCCUAUCAGCUUGUUGGUGGGGUAAUGGCUCACCAAGGCGACGACGGGUAGCCGGCCUGAGAGGGUGACCGGCCACACUGGGACUGAGACACGGCCCAGACUCCUACGGGAGGCAGCAGUGGGGAAUAUUGCACAAUGGGCGAAAGCCUGAUGCAGCGACGCCGCGUGAGGGAUGACGGCCUUCGGGUUGUAAACCUCUUUCAGCACGGAAGAAGCGAAAGUGACGGUACGUGCAGAAGAAGCGCCGGCUAACUACGUG
Molecule: ribosomal RNA, 472 nt
Filed under: uncultured bacterium
Lineage: Bacteria
Description: partial 16S ribosomal RNA
Rfam family: Bacterial small subunit ribosomal RNA
Source: RNAcentral